UUCCGGUUGAUCCUGCCGGACCUGACUGCUAUCGGAUUGAUACUAAGCCAUGCAAGUCUUUGUAGUAAUACAAGGCAUACGGCUCAGUAACGCGUAGUCAACCUACCCUAUGGAUGGGGAUAAUCUCGGGAAACUGAGCAUAAUACCCAACAGAUCAUCAAUUCUGGAAUGGUUGAUGAUUCAAAUGAUUUUUCGCCAUAGGAUGGGACUGCGACCUAUCAGCUUGUUGGUGAGGUAAUGGCCCACCAAGGCAAUUACAGGUACGGGCUCUGAGAGGAGAAGCCCGGAGAUGGGUACUGAGACAAGGACCCAGCCCUAUGGGGCGCAGCAGGCGAGAAAACUUUGCAAUGUGCGAAAGCACGACAAGGUUAAUCCGAGUGAUUUCUGCUAAAGGAAUCUUUUACCAGUUCUAAAAAUACUGGCGAAUAAGGGGUGGGCAAGUUCUGGUGUCAGCCGCCGCGGUAAAACCAGCACCUCAAGUGGUCAGGAGGAUUAUUGGGCCUAAAGCAUCCGUAGCCGGCUCUGUAAGUUUUCGGUUAAAUCUAUAUGCUCAACAUAUAGGCUGCCGAAAAUACUGCAUAGCUAGGGAAUGGGAGAGGUAGACGGUACUCGGUAGGAAGGGGUAAAAUCCUUUGAUCUAUCGAUGACCACCUGUGGCGAAGGCGGUCUACCAGAACAUGUUCGACGGUGAGGGAUGAAAGCUGGGGGAGCAAACCGGAUUAGAUACCCGGGUAGUCCCAGCUGUAAACGAUGCAGACUCGAUAAUGCACUGGCACAUAGCCAGUGCAGUGUCGCAGGGAAGCCGUUAAGUCUGCCGCCUGGGAAGUACGUACGCAAGUAUGAAACUUAAAGGAAUUGGCGGGGGAGCACCACAAGGGGUGAAGCGUACGGUUCAAUUGGAUUCAACGCCGGG
RNAcentral lists this ribosomal RNA (913 nucleotides) under uncultured archaeon. RNAcentral describes it as "bacterial SSU rRNA". It matches the Rfam family "Archaeal small subunit ribosomal RNA", at positions 1 to 922 of the family's 1478-position model. The record is from RNAcentral.